Molecule: long non-coding RNA, 3081 nt
Organism: Lactuca sativa (garden lettuce)
Lineage: Eukaryota; Viridiplantae; Streptophyta; Magnoliopsida; Asterales; Asteraceae
Source: RefSeq, a predicted model, not a curated record
AGUUAUUUUCUUUAAUGUCUAAUUUCCCUAAAUUAAUUAUAUUUAAUUGGAUAAUGUAUCAACUUAAAAUGACAAGAAUGCCCUUACUUUGAUCUAAAUACAUUUACAACUCUCAUCUCCCUUACGCAGACUCCCCACCCUUUCCCCUGUACACAAUCUGCAUCGACAGCCACCAUCGUUACAUUGCCUUCCGUCUUCCGUCCGCGCUGCUCCAACACAUACAUGUAUACCAACAUAAGCUUCUAAUACUUACAAUUUCUUCUUUUGCUUCGAUUUCAUUUCAGAGUUGUUCUUGUAAAUCAAGCAACCGAUUGAACUUUCCUUUACACAUCCUACUAAUAUCUUCAAUACAACUACUUUUGUGGAAUUCAUGACAAUGUAGCCCGUAGACAUGUUUGGCUAAAGAUGUCUUUCCGAGCCUAUACCCGAAAUAGUAAGCAUGUCUACCAUAUGUGAUGAUCCAUCUUUCAAUCAUGAAGUUACAAAGUCAACAUCAUAGUCCAUCCCUAUAAAUAGCGGUUGAGCACUUCUUAAGGGUACAUGUAAUCUAUAGUGGAUGUCAUUCACAAUUUCUUCAAUGAACUUUGUCUCUCACCAGAAAUUUGAUUUAAUAAGAACUUCAAUACAUAAUAUAUAAACUAACAAACCAGAUUUGGAUAUUUAGUUUAUCCAGAGAUCCAAAUAAAAAAAUAUAUCAUAGUUAUUAAUUUUAAAAAGUUCUUCACAUCAAAACCAUAUUGUGCUUAUAAUUAACCAUAUGAUAGGAAUAAAGAUACUAGAAUGCUCAAAUGAAUAAGCUUAACAAGAAUAGACUUUUUCUCUUUCUCUCGCUUCAGUCCUGUGAGAGGUUAGUGGUCAUACCAUUACUCUUGUCCCUUUUAUCCUUUUUGUGUCUCCUCAUGUAAACCUUCCGUAUGUUGGUCUUCUUGGGCUUAAGGCCAAUGGGCUGAAUUAGUUCUGGACUCAUGGAUUUUUUUUUCUUAUCACCAUAUAAGUAGCUAACGUGUAAGGUUAUAAAUAUAUGUAUAAUAAGACCAAUGCUACAAAUGUAAUACAAGACUUCACUAAUGGGUCAUCUAACCUGAUAAGGAUCCUAACCGAGUACCACCCACCAUAUACUUGAGCCCAAUUUGGAUAAGGAUGACCCCAAUGAACAUAAUCCUUGGAUAGUCUAUAUAAGGAAAAGAUACAGGGAAUGGAUACGUGUAGGGUGAAGAAUGGAGAAGUUAGUUAUGCGUCAAGAAAGAGGGAGGGGAGAAUAUAACUUAGUGAUUUUGCAUGAUGUUACCUGUCUAAAAAUUUCUUUUGAGAAUUAUUGUUCAUCAACUUCAAGCUUAGGCAGGAGGUAAUCACACACUGAAUUUCCUUUCGGAUUGUUUUAAAUCGUUUUCAUUCAUUUUCUUUCGGUUAAUAAAAUAAAUCGAUCUCUCUCUUUCAAAUUUAUUUACUGUUACAAAUUUUUUGAGUUAAGAACUUCAAAUAUCAAGGUCUACCAUAACUUCACUAUGUUUCUACAAGACCAUCAAACUUAACUAUGAAUGUGGCUGCGUCUUACAAAGUGUCGGUUAUAGGAUAUCUUUUACUACUUACAUGUAAGAGAAGUUAUUUAUCAUAAAACAUACUAUGUUUCAAAGUGGUAUCGUAUAUUUGAUAAUAGAUGCCUAACAAACGAUUCCAAUUUGGUUUUUAAUAGAAGCAUAUAAAAAUAAAUGAAAUGGUUUAUCUAAAUGGACUAGCGCUUUGAUAAAAUUCAAAAUGCAUAACAUGUGUGAAAAAACUAUCAGUUGGUAAUUUCCGAUCAUACAUGGACUUUUGAUAAGCCUUAUCAUAAUGUGUUAAUAACGAACGUAUUUAUCUGUUCAUACAAGUAGGUAUUAGCAUAGAGUUCAAAGUCUUUGUUUUGUAGUCAUCUUCUUAUAUACGUGUGGUAUAUGUAGAGGAUAGGAUAUUGAGUUAGGGUAUCAGUUAGAAGGAAAGGGUUGUAUCAUUUCUUUGUUAUAACAAGUGAAUUUCCUUUAAUCUAUGUGUUGUUUUUUGCAUAAACUGGGCUCAUUAAUCGGUAUCAGAGCGUUAAAACAAGAUGGGAGAUGUUGCCACUCCAAGCACGAGUGGAACGAAAGAAGGAUUGUCUCUUUCUCUUCAUAUGCCUAUGCUAAAUUCCAAAAAUUUAACAGUAUGGUCAAUCUGAAUGAAGGUAAUCUUUAACAUGCAUCAGGUUUGGGAUACCAUUAAUCCAAGAUCGACCAAUAUUAAGAAGAAUAACAUCGCCAUUGCAGUCCUUUUCUAAGCAAUAUCCGAAGACCUCAUCUUGCAAGUUGGCGUGAUGAACACGGCAGGAGAAAUUUGGAAUGCAAUCAAGACUCGUCAUCUAGGCGCUGAUAGGGUAUGAGAAGCACGACUGUAAACUCUCGCUACCGAGUUUGAAAAUUUAAGGAUGAAGGAGACAAGUACUAUCGAUGAAUUCGCUAGCAACCUGUCAGAUAUCGCGUCAAAAUCAGUCUCUCUUGAUAAAACUAUCCCUGAAAGAAAACUAGUGAAGAAAUUCCUCACUUUCCUACCAAGAAAAUUUGUUCAUAUUAUCGCUUCAAUAGAUCAAGUUCUCGAUCUUAAGACGGUUAGAUAUGAAGAUGUGGUGGGGCGAUUGAAGGUCUAUGAAGAACGUUUUCGCGAGGACAAACCCGUUAUCGAUCAAGGAAAGUUGUUGUUCAAGAACACAACACCUAACAAUCGAAAUCAUGAAGCCAACAGAGGAGGACGCGGUGGAUGAAGAUUAGGGUGAUGACGAGGUGGAGGUCGCCAUUCGCAAAAUCAACGACGACCCACACCAAAUUCCAACGAAGAGACCGAUAAUCCAAAAUCAAAGACCAAAGACCAAAGACAUAUCAAAAGUUCAAUGCUAUAGAUGUGACAAAUUUGGUCACUUUGUGUCCUAGUGCCCAGAAUGGAAGGAAAAAACAGGAAGAGGCUAACAUAGUAGAAGUUGAUGAUCACGACCCACAACUGUUUAUGUUAAAAACAUAGUCUCAUUCUUCACCGAUGUAGUAGAAAGACGGAAUUGUAAUCUUAUUGAGAUGACACAAA